RNAcentral lists this ribosomal RNA (382 nucleotides) under uncultured bacterium. Its description in RNAcentral is "bacterial SSU rRNA". It matches the Rfam family "Bacterial small subunit ribosomal RNA", at positions 28 to 412 of the family's 1533-position model. The record is from RNAcentral.
GAUGAACGCUAGCGGCAGGCCUAAUACAUGCAAGCCGGACGGCAAGUUGAGUAGCAAUACUUGACCUAGAGUGGCGUAAGGGUGCGUAACACGUAUGCAAUCUGCCCACAGCCGGGAGAUAGCCCUCCGAAAGGAGGAUUAAUAUCCCAUAGGAAGAUGAGAUGGCAUCAUUUUAUUUUUAAACUACGGGGCUGUGGCUGAGCAUGCGGUUGAUUAGCUAGUUGGCGGGUAAAGGCCCACCAAGGCGAUGAUCAAUAGGGGACCUGAGAGGGUGAUCCCCCACACUGGCACUGAGAUACGGGCCAGACUCCUACGGGAGGCAGCAGUAGGGAUAUGGACAAUGGGUGUAAGCCUGAUCCAGCCAUGCCGCGUGCAGGAAGAA